This 74-nucleotide transfer RNA is filed under the name Thermophagus xiamenensis. RNAcentral describes it as "Anaerophaga sp. HS1 tRNA". It matches the Rfam family "tRNA". From Rfam's summary of the family: Transfer RNA (tRNA) molecules are approximately 80 nucleotides in length. Their secondary structure includes four short double-helical elements and three loops (D, anti-codon, and T loops). The record is from Rfam by way of RNAcentral. Lineage: Bacteria; Pseudomonadati; Bacteroidota; Bacteroidia; Marinilabiliales; Marinilabiliaceae.
GCCGAUGUAGCUCAGUUGGUUAGAGCGGUUGUUUCGUAAACAACAGGUCGGCGGUUCAACUCCGCCCAUCGGCU